UCGUUAGCUCAGUCGGUAGAGCAGCGGACUUUUAAUCCGUUGGUCGACGGUUCGAAUCCGUCACGA
Molecule: transfer RNA, 66 nt
Filed under: Ruminobacter amylophilus
Lineage: Bacteria; Pseudomonadati; Pseudomonadota; Gammaproteobacteria; Aeromonadales; Succinivibrionaceae
Also listed under: 3 other names
Rfam family: tRNA
About the family: Transfer RNA (tRNA) molecules are approximately 80 nucleotides in length. Their secondary structure includes four short double-helical elements and three loops (D, anti-codon, and T loops). Further hydrogen bonds mediate the characteristic L-shaped molecular structure. tRNAs have two regions of fundamental functional importance: the anti-codon, which is responsible for specific mRNA codon recognition, and the 3' end, to which the tRNAs corresponding amino acid is attached (by aminoacyl-tRNA synthetases). tRNAs cope with the degeneracy of the genetic code in two manners: having more than one tRNA (with a specific anti-codon) for a particular amino acid; and 'wobble' base-pairing, i.e. permitting non-standard base-pairing at the 3rd anti-codon position.
Source: RNAcentral